CUAACCUAAUUUAAAUUAUUGAACUCAAAACAUAUAAUGAGAUUUGAAAUAUGACAUGUAAUGUCACCUUAGGAACACAAAUGGAUUCGAAUCUACAAUUUUAUAUUGAAGAUCUUGCAAACCAACUAAUCAUGGGCAGUGAUCUUCCAUCAAACCAACUAAUCAUGGGCAGUAAUCUUACAAACAAACCAUUACCUUAAAUAUUCAGAUAAUCUCGAUCUAGAUGAACCUGGAUCGUGUAAUAUUUUCCUAAAUAGAAGAACACGCACUCACAGCAAUUGAAGGGACUAAAAACAAGACAUGUUUUUUCUGCCAUCCCAUGAUGUAGAUGUAGAGUAGAGUUCUAUGAUCACAAGGCAACUAGGGAUGUAAUUGAUUCUAAGGACUAUUUUCAAAAGAAGUCUUGAUUAUUUGGAGAGCGAAGGGCUGGUUCUUGAAAGACGAGUGCAAGUGGUGGCGGCGGCACUAUGGGUUCCAGCUCUCUUCAGUGGAAAUGGAAUUAGGGCUAGAAAGUUUGAUAGAAAAUAGUGCCUUUGUAGCCUCGCCAUUUUGACUGGUCCAGCGUCGACGUUCAAAUUUGAAAAUUCAACGUGCCAAGAAAACCAUUCAUUCUUCAAGGAAUUGCUUUGAGGAAACGUUAAUGCUCAAUGAUAACAUCAUGAAAAAAUUAAUAAAAAAAAUCUUCAUCCUUAUCUCUAUCUUAA
Molecule: long non-coding RNA, 704 nt
Filed under: Populus tremula
Lineage: Eukaryota; Viridiplantae; Streptophyta; Magnoliopsida; Malpighiales; Salicaceae
Description: long non-coding RNA (PTRE_LNC000237)
Source: RNAcentral